This 38962-nucleotide long non-coding RNA is filed under the name Lynx pardinus (Iberian lynx). Lineage: Eukaryota; Metazoa; Chordata; Mammalia; Carnivora; Felidae. The record is from RNAcentral.
GUCUUUAUCUAUUGCCUCAUAAACUGAACUUCUAAGAGCUGAAUCAGCCCAAUUCUUGGCAAAAGUUGGAAUGGAACCCUUACGAACUCAUUUGUGAUGACGGUUGGGAAUGAAACAGAAGAGCUGAGCAGCAGUUGUUGGGCUCCGUGCCCACAUAACCACCCCGGUAAGUACCAAGCAUAGCUUUCAUUUCCCCCAUAUUAGUGAAAACUGAAAAGAAUACAUGGUUAAAGCAUAACAAAGAUGUUGGAAUCAGAAAGACACUGACUCAUUGAUUCCAGUCAUGUCCCAGCCCCUUCUUACCAUAUCUCCCUGGGUGAGUUUCCUAACCCUUCUGAAGCUCCACGCCCUUAUAAGAAAUACAAGGUUCAAUAAUAUCACCUACCUCACAGUGUUAUUCUCAGAUUGCAGUGAGAUUAUUAAAAUGUUGAGUAUAGAGUCUGUCAAAUAGUUCAUAUGCAAAGGCUGGUUGUAUUUAUUAGCAGCUAUUGCUACAAUGAUUCUGCAUAACAACCCACCCAAAACUCAGUAGCUUACAGUGGUCCACAUUUAUUCUUUUGUCCAAGACUCUGCAGGUUGUUUGCAGCUUGGGCUUGACUGGGCAGCUCUGCUUGAGCUGGGGUUCAGCUGGGCUCGGCGCCAGGGUGCUAGUUGGGUUCAGUUCUGUUCCAUGUGUUUUAUUCCAUGGUCAAGGCUAAGGAUCAAUAGCUACAGGCUGUGCUCUCCUCAUGAUGGGUCACUGGAGCACCAUGCCAAGCCAAAAGACACACAUUGAAGCCUUCUGUUUACAUCACAUCUACUGACAUUACACUGGUCAAAGCAAGUCACAUGGCAACCCCAGCAUAAUGGGGUAGGGCAACUCUCACCCACUAUAGGAAAGAGAAGGAAGUGAAUAUUUGAUAAACAAUAAUUUGAACGACCAUCCUACAAUAAUGAUGCUAAAUUAAUUUAGUGGUAGUAGUAAUAUUAUGAGUAGUAAUAGUAAAGAAAAAUAAUCAUUGAUUCCUUCCACUGAUUUUGUUGGGCUGCCAAACUGUGCCAGGGGCUGUCUAGCUCUCCCAGGUCAUGUUAAGCUUUUCCCAACCAUUUAGUGCCUUGGAUGUGUGGCUUAAAGGAUGGCCUCAAAGACAAUGACCUGAGUUGUGCAGAUUAUUUCCAUCAGCUUGGAAAUAGACAAACAGAAGCUAAACGAGUGGCCAAAUGCAAUGUACACGGACUAACUCACAGUUUUGGUGACUCCUUGGACGUCUCUGAGCAUCGGUUCUUCUAAUCUAAGAAAUGGAAAGAUGUUCUCUUACGUUCCUCCUACUUUACUGAGUAUUUUCCACAUAGAAAAAGACUUUUGCUUUCCACCAGUCAGUCUUAUGCAUUUUAAGCAGAACAGAAAAACAUUAAACAUAGUCAGUUGAUGUUCAUUAGAGGGAAGGCUGGCAUCAAAUGCCAGGUUCAGUUCAGCCAUGGAGUAACUCAAAGACAAUGGAAAGGAUUCACAGGAUGUAUUGCUUGGCCCUUGCUGCGAUGGGUAAGGCAACUUGAAGAGGAUAGUCUAGGGGCGCCUGUGUGGCUCAGUUCGUUAAGCAUCCAACUCUUGAUUUCAGUUCACGUCAUGAUCUCAGGUUUGUGAGCUCAAGCCCCACAUCAGGCUCUGCUGACAGGGCAGAGCCUGCUUGGGAUUCUCCUAAUCUCUGUCUCUCAAAAUAAAUAAACUUAAAGAAGUGGAUAGUCUAACAUAAAACCAGGUGUCCUAUCUUAGGAAUUCCCCAUCAGACAGAGUGAGAUACGUGGAGCAGAGGAAGGGAAGCUGGAUAAGAGAUACGAAGGAAAAGAGAAGAUACUUGUCAGAUGUUAUCUAGCAAUACAACCUUCUUGCUGUUUCCCAUUCAUUUUUCAAGCCUAAGGGAAGAAGAAGACCUAUGAACUAUUCGUGGAUGACAGCUAUCAACUCUAUAGAAACAUCAGAUGGAAGAUUGCCUUACCAAGUUCCAUCACCUGUGCUGUCUGAUUCCACUGACUAAAAACAAAAACAAAACAAAACAAAAAAAAACAAAAAGCAAAACAAACAAACAAACCAACAACAACAACAACAACAAAACAGGAAAAGAGCAAAAGCUAUAACCUGAAAAAUAGAAUUUGGGCAUGCAGGAAGGUUUCCCAUCUUAGAAGGCUGAUUGAUAAAUAUCGAAAUAUCUUAAGAUUUCAUUGACAUCUUGCCUCUCUCACUCUCUUUGUAUAGAGAAUGAAGGGGAGAAAAAUUGACAGGCAUUUAUUGUUAAGAAGGAACUGCAGUCCCACUAAACACCACAAGAAUCCAGCCAGGUAAGUACAAUAACCUCAUACUUUCAAAAAAGAAUCCAGGAUUGUUUGGGUUAAACACAUUACUACCCUCCAAAACGUUAUUAGAAAAUGAGAAUUGACCUCGGACCUAGACUCUGAUUUUUUUCACCAUAUUACAUUUUGAUCUUUAAGAUAUGCAUGCAGAUUUUGAAAAUUUUAUUGCUUUUAGCUAAAAACAAGGAGACAGAUGAAAUUAAUGUUCACAAAGUCCCUUUCAGUCCCAGACAUCUGUGAGUCUAUGAUAUACAGCAAAUUAUUUCCUCCGCAAGCCCAAACUGGAGGCUACAUUGUAUAUAUUUUCCCCUUGUUUUCCUAUGUCAGCUCCCUGACUGCCCCUCACAGCCACUUUGCAAGUCUUGAUUGCCAAGCAUUUAGUUUCUUUUUCCUGUUUGUCUGGAAGACAGAAAGCCCCAGGAAGGGAUUCUUGGGCUUUUGAUAGAAGGCGCAUGAAAUAUCUGUAAUUAUGGAUUACAUUUUGUACCCAAUAAAUGGCUGAAAGAAGUCCAAUGAUAGAAACUUUUAGAAGAUAAUUGAAUGUGUCAGCUGGAUCAAAAAAUUAUGUACUUGCUCCACCUCUGCAAAUUGUGAUAAAUAGUCUGUUGUCUGGAGAGGUUGCCUGGCAUUUUCUUUUGCAUUCCAAAAUCACUGUCGCCCUUGUCACUGAAUUUUUGGUUAACGACUCAAAGAAACCCUUUGGACUAGAAUGAAUCUCCUAGAUGCCACCAUCUGAACAUAGUUACCUGGAAUACAACAGACUUUAAUAAUUCAAAACUUCAAUUUAUUUCUAUCAUUAUCCCAGACAAAAGAAGUGUAUAUUUUUAGCACAUUUAUUGGUGAAAAAUGGGGUGUGCCCCACGCUUGAGGAAAAAUUAGCAUUUCUCUACUUAAAUAAUGAAGUAAGAGAAAAAAAAGCAUUUUUUCUUCAUUAUUUAUGUAUCCAAUUGUGUCCUUUGCAUAACUGCCUUGGAAUAGAAGCACCUUAUUAAGAGGGACAAUGAGUAGUAGCAGUAGAAUUCCCAAGCAGAAGAACAAAACAAAAUAUAAAUUAAUGUUUUCUAUUAAACCCCAGCAGUAUAUAGUGUGGCCAGACCAAGGAGAAUCGAGCUUGUUUAAACAUUUAUAAAUUGUAAAGAGCAGUCAGGGUAAAUGGAAAUAAAGAGUGAUCAAAUGUAGAAUGAAGUUAGAAUUUUCUAAGCUGACAAGGAAUGGUAGAAAUAACGAAGGAGGGAUGGGGUAAAUGGGUGACGGGCCUCAGGGAGGGCACUUUUUGGGAUGAGCACUGGCUGUUGUAUGUCAGAGAUGAAUCACUGGCUUCUACCCCUGAAGCCAAGAUUAUACUGUAUGUUAACUAACUCGAAUUAAAAAAAGAUGUAUAUAUAUAUAUACACACAUUUUUUAAUGUUGUCCAUUUUAUGUCCAUUUAUGUAUGUAUAUAUAUAUAUAUAUAUAUGAUUAUAUAUAUGUAUAAAUGAUUUCAAAAGGAAGAAAUAAAAUGGACAACAUUCAAAAAAAAAAAAAGAAAUAACAAAGGGGAAGAUCAGUAAGAACUUCAUGUACGAAUUACGAUUUCUCUCAAAAUUGCUUAACAGGCAAAUAAACCGGAGGAAAUACUCGCUCUCCACAGGACAAAGGGUGAUAUCCUUAACAGGAAAAGAGCUCCUGCCAAAAGGUAAUAAUAAAAGCAUUAAGUUCCCCAUCAGUAAAGGGGGGAAGGGAGUAAAGACAAUUGAAGGCACAGAUACAUUGAUGGCUAAGAAACAUUUGAACAUUUUUCAACCUCCCUCAUCAUCAAAGAAACGGAAAUUUGCAUAACAGGGAAAUGCUAUUGUUAACCUAUCAGAUUACUAGAACACUAAAAAAGAAAGAGAGAGAGAGAGAAUAUUCGAAUGCGGAGAUGGAGUGUAGUGACACAGAGGAGCUCAGCUCAGCUGGAAGGAAUACAAAGCGGUUCCAGCCCUCGGCAAGGAAUGUGGCGUGCAGUGUGUGAGCCUUGAAAAUAUUUGUAACGCUCACCUCCAAAAGUCUACUUCUGGGAUUCUAAUGAUGGAAAUGAUCCAAAACAGAGAAAAGGGGUUUUCUGCCAGAGACAUUCAUUGCACUGCUGUUUAUAAUAUUAAAAUUGGGGGAAUAAACUAAAUUUCCCAAAAAUAAGAGUGAUAUUACACAAAUCAGAAUAACAAAAUGUAGCCACUCAAAUAUCUGUGAAAUAUUUUAAGAUCGUAAGAUGCCUAGGUUUUAGUGAAAAAUAUAAAAUUAGAGUAUAAAGUUUUAUAUGUGGAAUGAGAUCAAAGGUAUAAAAUAACGGAUAAAAAUGACCAGAGUGGAUUAUAAUAAAAUGCUAAUAAAGGUUUUAUCUGGUUAGUAAGAUUAUGGAUGGAGUGACCAUGUAAUUUAUUCUCCAAAAGGGGACACACCCAAAUGUCUAUGAGAAGGGACAUAUCAGGGGACAACAUUCUGGCAGUAAAGCCUAAUGAGAAUGUUACUUUUUAUUAAGGUCCCUAAAUAUUUUUCAGACAAAGACUAGUUUUAUAAGUGAAUUCUUUCUAGGGAUGCCUGGGUGGCUCAGUGGGUUAAGUGUCUAACUUCAGCUCAGGUCACGAUCUCUCAAUUCUUGAAUUUGAGCCCCACCUCAGGUUCCACACGGCUGGUGUGGAGCCUGCUUGGGAUUCUCUCUCUCCCUCUCUCUCUCUCUCUGCCCCUUCCCCACCUGAGUGCUCUCCCUCUCUCUGAAAAUAAAUAAAUAAGCUUAAAAACUUUUUUUUUUAAAUUAAAAAAAGAAUUCUUUCUGAUUAUCAAAGUGACAUAUGUUCACUGUAGAAAAUUUGAGAAACAGAAAUAUAUGAAAUUUGAGAAAUUACACUGAUGUAAAUGGUGGGUAAAUAGUAGACCUUUCUAAGAGCUCAUUUGCGGGUGGUUUGGAUGAAGUGUGGCUGAGAAUCCGCUUGGGAUGAAAAGCAGGAGAGGGCAGUGGGCAGAUUUAAUGUUGGAGAAGCGUGUACUAGGUCAGCAGGAGUUUUGCAAAGAGGGAGUUCCCUGUCUCUGGAGUCAUCUGAGUUGAGGCUGGCUGACUCCAUUAGGCGGGUGUUCUUAAAAAGAAACUGAAGGCUGCCUAAGAGACACCAACCCUGAGGUCUGGGGUUGUUUGGAAGACCAGGCAUGGACCAAACCCAGAGCUUAGCUUUUCUGUAGGGGCGAGGUCUAACCUGGAGACAUAGGGAUGUCCAGACAGGUCACUGCUGGCGGCAGCCGCAGUCGAGCAGUGUGUGGGCAGGCAGGGAGUGGGGAGCUCAGAACGCUACCUUCCAUUUGAGUCUACUCUUUUCAAAAGCAGUUUUACAUACCUGUAUACUUUUUAAUGUAGUGUUUUAUUGAACGUGGAACGUUCUCAGAAUUCCAGAAGUCCUUUAUUGUCCCUUCUAAUUAUAUCCUCCUUGCUCCCUGAAGAAACCAAUAACCAAGUUAUUUCUUAUUCCUUUGGCCUGUUCGUAAGUCCUUCUAAAUGGAAUCACACAGUAUACUCUGUCUUGGGUGUGAUUUCCUUCACCCAACAUGAUGUUUGUGAAAUUUCUGCAUACUGUUACUUUAUCGCAUUUAAUUCUCACAGAAACACCAAAAGGGAGGUUAAAAGUUGGUCAGCAGCGGUGUCCGGAUGGGUCAGUCACAUGAGCAUCUGACUCCUGGUUUCAGCUCAGGUCACGAUCUCAUGGUUCAUGAGUUCGAGCCCCGUGUCAGGCUCUAUGCUGACAGUGCAGAGGCUGCUUGAGAUUCUCUGUAUCCCUCUCUCUUUGCCCCUCCCUGCUCAUGCCCUCUCUCUCCAAAAAAUAAAUAAACAUUAAAAAAAAAAAAGAAGCGAUCAGCAGUUUGCCAUAGAGAUAAGGAAAUAACCCCAAGGAGAUCAAGUGACUUCAGCAAGAUCUUAUAACCAGUAGCCAUCCAGUAAGUUGUCUCUAGGUUAGUACCCCUGGAGAAGUAUGGUUUUGUAGGGACAAGGUGGGAACUGGGUUUACUCAUAUCUUGACUCUCCUACUCACCAGUUUGGUGGGUUGGGGCAAGCCACUGAGCUUCUCUGAAACUUGAGUGCCUCCCUUCUGGAAUGGAACCCUGACAUCAGUGCCUCCCAGUUAACAUUUGUCACGUGGAUGAACAAAUGAGUUUAGUUGUCAGCAGCAAAUGACAUCAGGCGUAUAAAAUCCAGUAUGAUGCUUGGCACUUCCGGGCCCUCAUCAAAGAACAGCUAUAGGUGGCCCUUAAAAGGAAGUCUCCUACAAGGGGAGGCUCCCAGCGCAAGACUAAUUUUUGGAUGCAUCCGUUAGAAUGCAUUAAAUAUAAAUCAUCUGGGGAUUCCCAACGUCUGAGUACUUGGUGUUGUGCAGGUGAUCUGAAUGACCUAUACACUCAGCGUCACCCAGAAAGUUAAGUCUAGUGACAGCUUCUCUUAUUAACCCUCUUAAAGGCGCUCAAAGUGUUUCUCAGACCCCCAUUUGCUCCUGGCUUUGGUGAUAUGUAGAAACGUGUCAGCUUUUCAAAGCUGAUCUCUUCCGGACUUUUUGACAUGCACGUAGUGCUGGUGAAUUUGCAACAACCUCUGGGACAGCAUAGCUUUGCUCAGGCGGAAUGUAAAAGCCAUCCAGCUGGCAGACCAAGCUGAGAAAUCCACGUUCAUCUAAGUUAGUUUGUGCCUAAAUGCUCUCUGGGGUUUUACUUAUUUUUCAACUUGCUCUUGCUGUGAAAGUUCCGUCUUCGAAAUGUUAAGUCACCGAGCCAUAAAAAGAUGUGACAUGACCACAGGCAGUGUCAGUUGGUGUGCGUGCUGCUAGCUGUGGGGAAUUUGGGUGUGGACCCCUAAAUAUUGUGGCAUCCUAUCCUUCAAUAUAUAAUAGUUAUCACUACAUUUUAUUGAGCCCUUAAUACGUGAUAGAUUCCGUUAGCUACUCGCUCGGUGUUUCAUUUAAUCUUUACAAUAAAUCUCAUGAGAUAGGAUUAUCAUCAUCGUUUUAGAGAGAAGGAAACAGACCCAGAAGUGUUAAAUAACUUUUCAAGGGCAAAUAAUUCCUAAGUGGCAGAGCUGGGAUUGGAGCCUAGUGCUGCCUGAUUUCAAUGCUGGUUCUUUCCUCUGUGACUUGAAGCAAGAAUGAGGAGACUCUUUAAAUUUUUUUUUUUUAUUUUUAAUGUUUAUUUUUGAGAGGGGGGAGGGGGGGAGAGAGAAAGAGAGAGAGAGAAAGAGAGAGAGAGAGAGGCAAAUGGGGGAGGGACAGAGAGAGAGGGAGACCCAGCAUCCAAAGAAAGCUCCAGGCUCUGAGCCAUCAUCACAGAACCUGAUGCGGUGGUUGAACUCAUGAACUGCAAGAUCAUGACCUGAGCCAAAGUCAGACAUUUAACCAACUGAGCUACCAGGUGCCCCAGGAAUGAGGAGACUCUAAUGAAAGAAGUCUGGGAUGUGGGACCCCGAAGAUGAAAUCUGGCUUAUAGAUAUGCUUGGGUCUGUGGGUUUCUCUGGAGUCCUAAUGACUUAAUUAUUAAAGAACACAGCCUGCCGUGGCUGGAGGGGAGCAGAUGCUGUCACAACUGCCAAGAAGGAGGUCAAGUGCCUCGACCUUGACCCCAGUCAUAUCAGUUCAAAACAGGCUGCCUGCAGGCACUCUGGAGAAACAGACACAGCUUUCCAGAUUUUUCCUCUACCACCAAGGUGAGGUGCACUCUCCUAAUCUGUCUUGGUUCUUUAUUUAGCACGGCACUUCUGUUCUGCCAAAGCAGCCAUUCCAAAUAUGAGUGCUUAAAAUAAUGAUCAUAAUAUAAACAAAACAGCAAACUCACCCUUAGGUAACCUCCAAUAGCGAGAAAGGAAAUAUAAACAUGUUUCUCUCCCUGAGGGUCAGGCUGUCCUGCACCUUGAAGGUAAGAGACCUGUCUCUGUGACCCCACCCCUUGCUCAUUCUCCUUUGUCUUUAGAGCCCCCUUAGAACUUUAAUUUAACCUCUGUCCAAACUGGCACUUAAAUCCUGAAUUCACUCCUUCUUUUUAUUUAUUUAUUUAAAAAAAUUUUUUUUCAGUGUUUGUUUUUGAGAGACAGAGACAGACAGAGCAUGAGCAGGGGAGGGGUAGAGAGAGAGGGAGACACAGAAUCCAAAGCAGGCUCCAGGCUCCCAGCUGUCAGCACAGAGCCUGACGCAGGGCUUGAACCCAUGAACCGUGAGAUCAUGACCUGAGCCAAAGUCGGACACAACCGACUGAGCCACCCAGGCGUCCCUCAGUCCUUCUUUUUAUAUGCACUCCCCCACCAUCAUUGAAGCCAUAUCAUCUUUCGCCAGGACUGCUUGCCCCAAGGGACCAAGCUCCAUUCCGAUCCCCUCCCCCACCAUAAUUUAUUCUCCUCAAAGCAGCCAGAGUGUCAUUUCAGACACAAAUCACAUACUGUCUGGGGCAAAUUUUAUUUUCCAAAGUCAGCUAUCCUGGUCCAUCUCACUCCAAAUGUUCUUACAAGGGGAUGUGGAGGUUCCUCCAUGAAUAGUAGAGUCUCUAUUCUCUCCCUUUGAUGCUGGGCAGGUUUGGGGGACUGGCCUCCAAGGGUGGAACACAGCAGACUUCCAAGAUUAAGUUAGAAGAAGCAAUACAGACUACCACUGGGCUCUUUCCUGGGAUGCUGCCCUGGUAAUCCAGCCGCCAUAUUUUGAGGAAGCUAAGCAGACACACGGAAGGGCCAGGUGUCAUCCAGCUGAGGUCCCAAAUCCAGGAUCAGCCACCAGACAUGAGUGAGCAAGUCUCAGAUGACUCCACACCAAAUGGUGGAGACGCCAGCCGACUUCACCAGGCCCUGCCCCCGUUACAGAUCUCCGCCCAAGAAAGAGGUCACUGUAUCAAGACACUAAGUUUAGGGGAGGUUUGUGACACAGAACUGGGAACCAGAACUCCAUCACUCUUUUGCUUGAAACCCUCUAGUGUCUUCCCUGUGCCAUGGGAAGAAACUCCAACAUCCUUACUUGGGUCUCCAAACCUGUGCGUGAUCUAGCCCCUGACAGCCCCUCCCAUUUCGUCAGCCCUGUGCUCAUUGCUUCUUUCUCUCCAUUGAACCCACAGGGCUUGUUCUGACCUCAAGGCCUCUGUUCUUACCGUUCCUUCUGCCCAAAUGCUAUUCCCUGGGGAUUGGCAUAUCUGGAUUCCGUUUAUAAUUCAGGUUGCACUUCAAAAAUUGCUUCCUUCACUGGUUAUCAAAGACUGGCCCUUGGGUCCCUUUCAGAUUAGGGGUCACACAUGUUAAGGUUAGGUGGUCAUUGUGACAUUUUUUCCCCCAGCCAUGUUCAGCUACAGAAAGGCAAGCAUGGAUGGCAUAGGAGCAGAGUAGAAUUUAAACAGGUUUGGGGUCUUGUCCGGUGAGUUCAUGACUCCUUUGAAGGUGACUCUGCCUCAGUAGUCACUACUCCACAAGGGUGCUUUUCGCCAAGACAAUAUGCUAAUGUUGAAAUAGUCACAGUCUCAAAGAUGUGUUUAUCAGGUGCUGUUGGACUAAUUUUUGGCUCACCUGCAGUCACAGAGGGAGAGAAAGAGAGAGAAUACAAAUUCCAUGCUCUCUUCAAUCAUCUUCAAUUCUUUAUUCCUCAAAAAUGCACUUAUUGAGGGUCCACUAUGAGCAAGGAGGCUAUAUUCUAGUGGGAGGAACAAAUACUAAACAAAGAAUAAAAUAGAGUGUGUCAGCAUGUGAUAAUAUAGGAGGGAAGCGGGAGACUUGAAUGAAAUGUGUCAGUUAGCCAUAUAGCUCGGCAUGGAAGAGUGUCCCAGGAAGAAGGGACAGCAAGUGCAAAGUCCCUGGUCUGUGAGCAUGGGCGGCAUGUUUAAGAAUUAGCAAAAAAGAGGGGCGCCUGGUUGGUUCAGUUGGAUAAGCGUCCGACUUUGUCUCAGGUCAUGAUCUCAUGGCUUGUGGGCUCAAGCCCCGCGUCAGGCUCUGUGCUGACAGCUCAGAGCCCAGAACCUGCUUCUGCUUCUGUGUCUCCAUCUCUGUCUCUCUUUGCCCCUGCCCCACUUGCACUCUGUCUCUCUCUCUCUCAAAAUACAUAGACAUUAAAAAAUGUUUAAAAAGAAGUGAGACAUGGAAAUUUCUAAAAUUUAUAGGGAGUAUUUCCAGUGAGGUAGCAGAACAGAGUGGUAUGUAGAAACGUAUAAAAAUGUGCUUGGAGAGGGAGAGAGCAAUCAACUGCUUGAAACACUGAUGGAAGAAGAUGCAUGUUGAGAAUUACCUGCUGCAAUUGGAGAUGAGAAGGUGAUUGGCAUCCUUGACAAGAGCUAUUUCUGGGGUGGAAAAAGGAUGAAACCUGGAUGCCAUUGGGUUAGGGAGAAGGUAGGAGAAAAGGAAAUGAGGAUGAUGACUUUAUUCUAGGAUAAUUUUCCUGGAAAGGGGGUGCAAAAAUGGGUACAGUAGCUGAAGAGAGAUGUGGGGCAAGUGAGGAUUUUUUUUUAACAUGAGAAAAUAUAAAAUGUGCACUAAUGAAGAAGAGUGAGGGAGGUUGAUGAUGCAAGGCAGAGAGGAAACAGCAGGUACAUCCCCAAAGGAGGAGUUGGCCAGAGAAAGGAGAAAGGAAGUCAGUCCAAAGAAACAAGAGAAUGUGAGAUGUUUGUGUAUGUUGGCAGAUAGAUAUGGUGAUGGAAAUGUAUGGAAAUUACUUUCUGAUUGCUUUUAUGAUGUACAAUGAAAUAGGAAGCAAAGCAACUAUUUGGGAGUGAAAAUUAAAGAAGAACCAUGAAGAUUUGAGAAGAAGGAAAUGGUCAACCAGGAGAGUAGACAAGUGAAUGGAUUAGGGAAAUGCAGUGGAAUUAGUGAAAGCACUAAAGGUCCACUGCAGGUUAGUGGUUGAGGAUCUAAAGUUAAAUCAAUCAGUAUAACAUUGACCUACAUGGAAUAGGUGUAAUGUUGGAUUUAAACAGGGCAUAGGUUGUGUUGGCUGCUAUGAGCUGAAGUGUGUCCCCCCACAAUUAGUUGCUGGAGCCCUAAUCUCCAAUGAGACUGUAUUUGGAGAAAGGGCUUUCAGGAGAUAAUUAAGGUUAAAUAAGGUCACAAGUGGGGAUUCCAAAUCUGAUAGGAUUAGUGGUCCUAUAAAAAGAAAAAGAUAGAGAGUUCCGUCUUCAUGCUCAUGCAUGAAGAAAAGGCCAUAUGAGCACACACUGAGAUGGCAGCUGUCUGGAAGCCAGGAAGAAAGCUCUCACCAAGAAUUAAAUUUGCUGGCACCUUAGUCUUGAACUCCCCAGCCUCCAGAACUGUGAGAAAUAGAUUUCUGUUGUUUAAGUCACUCAGACUAUUGUAUUUGUUAUGGUAGCCUGAGCUAAAACAUCAGGUGAGUAUGAUAAAGGAAAGAGAGCCAAGGGAGUUGAGGGUUGUGUGCAAGAGAAUGGUUAUGACCACAGACCAUGGAAACAAGAUUAGGCGAGAAAGGAAGUAAUAAUGAUGUGGGAUGAAGGGCAGUACAACUGUUUAAUAUGAUAAAGUUAAUGACUGUAGAUCUAAAUUGAUCUAAGAGUCCAGAGAGUGGGGUACUUGAGGGGGUAAAGUGGAAAGAUAGGAGGUAAUGGUCAGAAAGUGGGAUGUUUUCUGUAAGAUCGUAGGGGUGGUACUGUAAUUGAUGAUGACAAAGUCUAGGGUGUGAUCAAGGAAAUGGAAAACUGGUAGUUUGAGGACAAAAGUUGAGAAACUAAAACUCUGGAGUGUUAGAAAGAUGGUCUUUGUUAAUAUUGGGAUAAUCAGGGAUUACAGUAACUGUUGGAAUUAUACUAACAGUUGCAGUGAGUGGCCAUAAGCUCAGUGCUUACAUCUUCAAAGAAUGAAAAACAGUACCUGAGAAGAGCAUUUGAAGUGAUUUCAAGAUGGUGGGUAGUAAAUAGUGGAGUCUGAAGGGUGGUCUUCAAAACUGUGGGUUGUUAGGGAGAGGGAAGAAUAGUAAAGUGUCAAUGAGGACUAACGAUUUAUAAUAUAUCUUCCUUAGAGGAAGUCUUUAUCUGUCUAUUUAUCAUCUAUCAAUCAUCUAUCUAUCACCUAUCUAUCUAUCUAUCUAUCUAUCUAUCUAAUCUCCCUAACUAUAUCUAUCUAUGUAUCUAUCAUCUAUCAAUCUUCUAUCUAUUAUCUAUCUCUCUACUAUCUAUAUUUAUCUAUCAUCUAACUAUCCAUCUACUAGAUCUAUCUAUCUAUCUAUCUAUCUAUCUAUCUAUCUAUCAUCUAGCUCCCUAUCUAUAUCUAUCUAUGUAUCUAACUAUCAUCUAUCAGUUUACUAUCUAUUAUCUAUCUCUCUACUAUCUAUCUAUUAUCUAUCAUCGAUCUCUCUAUCAUGUAUCUAUCCAUCUAUCUACUGUCUAUCUAUCUCCAUAUCUAUCUCGCUAUCUAUCGAUAUCUAUUUAUCUGUCUAUCUCCUAUGUAAUCUAUCUCCUAUCUAUCUAUCUACCACCUAUCUAAGGAGGAUAUAUAGAUAUCCUUAGAUAUAUCCAAGGAUGGAUAUAGGAGAUAGAUAGAUAUAGAUAUAUAUAUAGAUAUAUAUAUAUAUAUAUAUAUAUAUAUAUAUCUCCCACCACCAGUCUGCAGAGUAGAGGGAAGGGGAAAGAAAGCAGGCACUACUUGAGAGAUCUGUAGAGAAAUUAGAGUCCACAGAGAACUAAGUUUCUUUUGGACAAAGAUGAAGGGCACAUUACAGGAGAGGCUUGUGAUGAGGAAGACUUUGCUAAUGGCUGCCCAUAAUUCUCGAAGCACAGAGGAAGGGGCCAGGAGCUGUGGGGUGGCAAUGGGGUUAGAUUAGGGCAUGUGUUGAUCUUUAUAGGUAUUAGAGUCAAUGUAAUGGAGAAGUGGGAGUUGGGACUUCUGAUAGCUGACAUAGAAUGAGAAAAGGGGAUUCUUGAAUUAGUCACAAAAUGCUUGGCAUCUGUGUUUGACUGUGCUCCCAAACCCAUUCCCUGCCCUUCUUUGCCCUUCUCUGAAGCCUACUUUCCAUGCAGUUGAAGCAUUUAGGCUACUUUUUCCUUUGACUUCCAGUUUUCCCUGGCUAGUGGGAAGCUCUAGCAGGAGAUCAGAAGGCUAAAGGAGAGAGAGGAAACAGUAUUUUUUCUUUGCUUUCUCCCUGCCUCCUAGCAAUCGUGGCAAUGGUUACCUUCUUCUGAGUGCCAGCUCUGUAGGCAGCCCCUCUUCUAUGGCUCUAUCUCAUGCUGAUCAAGAGCCAGUGACUCUUCUGCCUGUGCUGAUCCCUUGGUAAUCACCAUCUUUGUUGGUUCUCACAUCUCUGCCCAUACCUCAUCCAGCAAACCCUUCAUCAGCUCCUCAGUUGAGUGACCCAUUGGUUCAUGCCUGGUCCCUGGUGGUCUUACCUGCCGACAGGUGCACCUGUUCCCAUAUGUCCAGGUGUGCCCAGGACAGUUCUGGCUUACAUGAUUUGUACCAGUGUAAUUAUUAAUAGCAUCCCUUUCACUCCCCAAAGUAUUCCAGUUUUGAUUAAUUAUAUAGUCACCCUACCUCUGAUCCCCUGGUUCUGUUUGCUAUGCCUGUAAAUCAAUCUCUCCAGAUGGCCUUCUCUCUGGCUGGAGUCUUCUUAAUCUCUUACAGUCUUUCCUGUGAACUGAGAGGCUGGAUAUCUAGGAAAGGGAGGAGGGAGAGGGAGAGCCCAGCUUGGUCUUUAUUUUCAUUCCUCCAACACAGCAGGCUAAAAGCAGAUGAGAGAGCACAGCUCGUCUUGUUUAUGAUUUACAUUUUUCCAUGAUUAAUCAUGUAUAAUGAAGAGAUACUUCCCUAGGGUCACUGGCUCAUUAGCUUCUUACCCUCCCUUAUUUUGGGGACCUAUACCAUCAACCUGAAUAGCAGAGCACAGGUGAAUUGAAAAAUAUCAAGUGGCUUUGCUAUGUUGGGCAAGCCAAGCUAAGCUCUCUUGGCCUUGAUUUCCUCCUUUGCAAAUGGGAGGAUUAACAGCACCUAACAGGGUAACUAGGAUUGAAUGAGUUGAUACAUAAAGAGGUGCAAUAGUGCUGACACAUAGGGAGCACUAUGCACUUGUAUCUUUUACACACACACACACACACACACACACACACACACACACACACUCUGAUGGGGAGAGGUGUGUAUGAGGGAUGGGGAUGAACACUCAGGUGGAGGAGAAAGUGGCUCUUCCUUCCUGAGGAACACAGCACCGGGGCACUGAUGCAUAUUAGGUUACAGAUCACUGUGGUUUCUUGAAACAAGGGGCUAUUUCCUGUAUGGAGAGGGUAGGUGUUUCCAGAAGGGAGAAAAGGAAACUUGUGCCUGCUUCCGUUCAAGCCUCUUCAGAGAAAUCCAACUUUCAUCUCCCAGAGACCAGCCACUCUGGAAAAUGUGGACGUAGUUUUAGUUUUCACCUAUGCUAACAAAAUGAAAGAAAUCAGCAUUUAUUUUUGUGAUCUGACACAAAUUCUGGGCAAGGGGUGUGGAAAGAGAUGUAUCAAUCUGGGUCUAACCAGAAGACAGACAUCACGAAGUAAUUUGGAGCACGUAUAAUAUAAGUGAUCAUUCAGCUAUGACAGCAGAGUAACUAUAAAGAUGGCGGGGGCUGGGAGGAAAUGUCUAAAGGAUACCCUGGGGCUAGGGGGAAUGCUCUAAGAAGGACAAAUUUAGAAGAGGUUCUCAUCUCAUUGGAGAAGCUGUGGUUGCAGGCCAGUGGGUGGCCAAAGAGCUCGCUGGCUUGCAGGAGCCCCAGCUGGCGCACCCGUCAAUGGGUGAACAGAAACGGCUCCCAGGUCAAGGCUGGUGGGCGGGCAUGGAGAGGGAGUCAGGGACCCUGCUGGGGGUGCUUGGCCCAGAGUGCAGGGUGUCCAUAUCAGGAGGACAAGAAACAACACGCGCAGGGCUAGUGGGUGUGAAUGCAAAAGGAAUCAACAGGGGUGCUGCUAUGGAGGGGGGCUGGAGAGCCCUCUCUCUACAGAAACCUAAAACACCUCCGCAUAUGGCUUAGGCUGGUCCGGAUUCAGGUGGGGCCAUGGGCUCCCAGGAAGGGGAAUUCUGGAGGCAUUAGGAGACAGAUCUCACUCUCCUAUUUCUCUAUUAGAUGAACUAUCCCAAUUCCUGACAACUCUUCCUUCUACAGCAUUUAUUCCUGAUCACAUUGACAGAAAACUCUCCUUAGCUAUUGUCUGUUGUGGUGUUCCAUUUUUUUUUCUUUAUGGUAUCAUUUAUUUUUUCUUAAUAUGAACUUUAUUGUCAAAUUGGUUUCCAUACAACACACACAACACCCAGGGUUCCUCCCGACAGGUGCCCUCCUCCAUGCCCAUCACCCACCCUCCCCCCCUCCCACCCCCCUCAGUUUAUGCUCAGUUUUUAAGAGUCUCUUAUGGUUUGGCUUCCUCCCUCUCUAACUUUUGUUGUGGUAUUCCAGAUGUAAUCAUACUGGUAAAGAAUAGCCAAAACAAACAAACAAACAAACAAACAAACAAGCAAACAAGCAAACUUCCUGUGCUGAUGUCGAAGAGUUUCAGGGAAUUUCUGCUAGCUUUUCUAGCAACUGUCCGAAGGUUGUGUUUAAGUGAAUGCAUUGUGCCCCCAGCAAUAAUCACUUGCAUGCAGAUAUAACUCACCUUAGAUAUAACUCAAGCUAUCAGAAAAUAUACUUUGCGUUUGUAUAAUCACUAUGUUAAAGACUUGGAUUUCUUUAUUCUGAGGUAUUCUAAGGUAGCGUUUCUUUGAGCGACAUCCGUUUUCUGUCUCAUUAGCGGGAGGGGUCGUUAGAUAAUCUUCUGAUGGUGUCGGGUAGAUCUGUUUCCUGAAACUAUUCUCCUGGGAUAAACAGAUACUUGUCAUUUUGUUUGCUGGGGUGUCUCUAACUCUCAAAAUGACUGAUGGGCCAUAAUGUUAUUCCAUGGGGAUGAAGAACAUUGGCUGUGGGGUUGGCUUUUGGUUUCCUUAGCAACUCUCUCCUAGGGGCACCAUGGCAGCCACGUUUAUUCAAAGUCGGGAUUCUAACAACAACAAAAACUGACAGUAUUUCAAUUGAGAUUUUAUACACCUAAAUUAACUUUGCUCAAGAGAGAUACGUUUUGCAUUGCUAUCAUUUUUUUAGUUUGUGUGCUAUUUCUCAUUAGAAUAGCAAAUUCCACCCUCAGAGGAGAGUUGGCUGGGAGGGGAGAGAGCUGGGGGGUAGAGAUUAGAGAGGCUUAAUAACCUGAAUCCCAAAGAGGAAGUGGUUUUCUCUUAGCUCCAGUUUCCCAUAUAGCCCUGAGGGGAACUAAUUUAGAAUCCAAGCAAGCCCCGUCAAAUACAUGGUCUCCUUAGUACCGUGUUAUUCAAUCCAAGUAGAAAUAACUUAGUUUUUCCCAUUGUUUUUACAGAAAAGCUGGUCUCUGUGUGAGAUUUAUUACCAUUUCCUACCAGGGUUUCUGAAGUUUGGCACCACUGAUAAUUUGGACUGGAUAAUUGGGGGAGGGGGGGCUGCCUUGUGUAAAAUGUUUAGCAGUAUCCCUGGCCUCCACCCAAUAGAUGCCAGUAGAUCCACUCUCCCCCCACCCCACUGGUCCCCCAGCUGGGACAACCAAAAGUCUCUAGACAGUGCCAAAUAUCCCCGGGGGAGGGGGGCAUGCAAAAUGACUCCAGUUGAGAUCUAUUAUCUAAAGGAGAAAUGCCGUGUGAUCCCAUGAAUAACUCAUUUUCAUGUGAUCCCAUGAAUAACUCCCUUUAUCAGUCCUCACUUUUAGCUUCCUAAACUAGAUAACCGAUACUCCAAGUGCAUGAGAGCCCAUGCCCAGAACGCCCAUUAAAAGGAACUAUGAUAUAUUUGCACAUAAUUUAGUGAGUAUCACAAUAGCAGCAAGAUCCUCACUCGAGGUUGAUUGGACCUGUCUUCUGGCCUCAGUCAUUUCCCGUCUCUGUCACAGCUUUUCAUUAUCACACCCCCUAUUUUUUUUUAUGAAAGUAUGCAUGUCACAUGGAAGUCACUAGCACCUCCCAGCUCCAAGACAUGAAAACUAAAGGCACAAUAAGAUAAAAUAAAAUAAAAUAAAAUAAAAUAAAAUAAAAUAAAAUAGGAGAGGGAGUCAUGGAGAGACUAAUGUGGAUUCCACAGGACACAGUUUUAUAGAAUAUUGAUUCUGCCUGUGCCAACAAUUAACCACAAAAUUAGACACAUCCGAGGGGAAAUUUAUGUAACACUUGUAAGCCCUAGGAGAUCACUGGUGUUUUUUUUUCCCAAGAUCUACCUAUAACAAAAUUUCUAAAUCAAUAAAAAAAUAUUUGUAGCUCCUUGCAUUUCCAUAUGACCAAAACUAUCUUUUAAAAAAUUAAUUUUUCUAUCUAUUUAUUAUUAUUAAUUUGAGAAAGAAAGAGCACACACAUGCAAAUGGCAGAAGGGGAGAGGGACAGGGAGAGAACAUCUCAAGCAGAUUCCGUGCCCAGCACAGGGCCCCAUGGGGGGCUGAAUCCCACAACUGUGAGAUCACAACCAGAUCUGAAAUCAAAAGUCAGACGCUUAGCUGAUUGAGCCACCCAGGUGCUCCCCCCCUCCCUGAAGCUACCUUUUUAGAAUGAAGAUAUCACUCUGUCAAUGCUAUAUAUGAAGAACCAUUUUUGUCUGACCACAAAGAAUGACAGCAGGGUGCCUGGGUGGCUCAGCCAGUUGAGCAUCUGACUCUUGAUUUCGGCUCAUGGUUCAUGGGAUUGAGCCCAUGUGGGGCUCUGCACUGAUAGCCAGGAGACUACUUGGGAUUCUCUCUCUCUCUCUCUGCCGCUCCCCUGUUCUCUCUCUCUCUCUCUCUCUCUCUCAAAAAAUAAAUAAAUACAUUUUUUUUAAUGGUAGGAUUAUCCAAGUUUUUUUCUAGAACCUCCACGGUGCAAUUAGAACUGGCCUGUGCUGGAAUUGAGGCAAUACUUGACAAAUUUGAUGCGAACUGGUGCCAGGCACCAUGUCUCCCAACACAGAUUCAGUUGUUUGUUGGUUGUGUUGGAACUGGUUUUAAUCUUAAGAUGACAAAGGAUGUGGAAAGACUGUGGGUUUCUACAUCUGACUGACUUGAGUUUUCAACCCAUCACUGGCUGUGUGAUGACAGGCACCUUCUUUUACCGUUCUGAGCUUCUCAUCGGCAAAGUGAGAGUAUAAUACAACCAUCACAGGGUCAUCACGGGUUUGGAAAGAACACACAGAAAGCUCUGAGCAGAAUGGCCAGCCUGGGAAGGAGCCACUUCCCUGUGGCCUAGUUACUCCAUGCCGACAUCGAUUCUGACACACCAAGCCUCAGGCUAACACAUCUGAUGUGGUGCCCAGAGUCCCGUCCCAUAGAGAUGAUCAGACCCUUUUUGUUUGGUCGAACAACAACAAAUUCCUGUCUACCUCGGAGGCGUCCAAAUGAUAAUGUCAGUCUGGCUGGGUCAGAUAUACCUGGGAGCCUGUUAAGAACAAUGAUCCUUGGUUCAUACCCUAGAGCUUUUCAUUCAGUGAGCCACUCUUAGGACCUGGGAAUAUGGGCUUUAGAAAGCUCCCAGGGAGCUCCCAAUGUGCCAUUUCUCAACCCAACUGGUUAUAUGGGUGUGUUCAGUUUGUGAACCGCUCCCCCCCCCCAAAACUGCUACAAUUUUCUGCCUGUAUGUGAUAUGGCAGAAAACUUCCAUAAAAGCUUAAUUAAAAGUAAAAUAUCUCCCCAGGUGAUUCUGAUUCACAGGCCAGUUUUGAGAGCCACUGGUUUUUGUAUCUUAUCCAAACCACACUUAAAAGUAAAAAAUGAGGGGUGCCUGGGUGGCUCAGUCGGUUAAGCAUCCUACUUCAGCUCAGGUUAUGAUCUGGCAGUUAGUGAGUUUGAGCCCCGUGUUGGGCUCUGUGCUGACGGCUCAGAGCUGGAGCCUGCUUGGGAUCCUGUGUCUCCCUCUCUCUCUGCCCCUCCCCUGCUCAUGCUCUGUCUCUCUGUCUCACAAAAAUAAAUAAACUUAAAAAAAAAAUAAAACGGAAAGAAAAAAAAAGUCAGAGAGGGAGGGAGCGAAAGCAUAAGAGACUUAAAAACUGAGAAUAAACUGAGGGUUGAUGGGGGCUGGGAGGGAGGGGAGGGUGGGUGAUGGGCAUGGAGGAGGGCACCCGUCGGGAGGAGCCCUGGGUGUUGCAUGGAAACCAACCUGACAAUACAUUUCAUAUUUAGAAAAUAAAAAUAAAAUAACAAAUAAAUGUAAAAGAAAAAUAAAACAGAAACACUCAAGGGGUGAAAAAGCCACAAGGCUAAAGUGCUUUCCAGCUUCUACUGAAGAGCUGUCCUUUGUGGGAACAGUGUUUCUGAAAUCAGAGAAGCGCUCCUCGGUGGCAUAGCCCUCCCCAAACCUCCAACACAGAGAAUAAGGAAAAUGGACCUGUAAUUGCUCUUGCUUCUACUGUAGUCCAACCAGGAAUUAAAAGCUCUCAUACCGUUGACGCACAGAUUGCAGAUUAUAGACAAAGCAGCACACUCUACUUUCCUUGUUGAGAAUGGUUCAUUUUCUCCCGGGGAACUCUAGUGGCACACCGUUUUGUCCAGCAUUGAAGAAGAGAAGGAAAUGGCAUUUUUUUAAGCUCAGUAAGUAUAGUAUUUAUUUGUACUUUCACUUAAGAGAUGAGCCACUUAAGGCUUAAAUGAAAUGUCAAUAUGUCCAAACACAAGGUGUCCAGAGGCAACUGCUGUGAUUUUGACCAGUGGUUUAGUGUCCAAUUUGCUACCUUAUUUACUUAUCUCAGUUCUGGAUAAAUAGGGUAAGCUAAACUCACAAUACUAUGGGAAUUUUUUCUCUUUGGUGAUUAAUAAAAAAAGCAGAUAGAAAUAGCUUGUCAGGGCACGUGGGGGCUCAGUUGGUUAAGGGUCCAAUUUCUUUCUUUCUUUCUUGCUUUCUUUCUUUCUUUCUUUCUUUCUUUCUUUUUUUGAGUUUAUUUAUUUUGACAGACACACAGAUAGCCAAGUUGGGGGGGGGGGGGGGGGGGNAGCAGAUAGAAAUAGCUUGUCAGGGCACGUGGGGGCUCAGUUGGUUAAGGGUCCAAUUUCUUUCUUUCUUUCUUGCUUUCUUUCUUUCUUUCUUUCUUUCUUUCUUUCUUUCUUUCUUUUUUUGAGUUUAUUUAUUUUGACAGACACAGAGAUAGCCAAGUUGGGGAGGGGCAGAGAGAGACGGAGACAGAGAGAAUCCCAAGCAGGCUUUGCUCUGUCAGUGCUCAGAGCCCAAUGGGGGGGGCCUUGAACCUACAAAACACUGAGAUCAUGAUCUGAGCCAAAACCAAGAGUUGGAUGCUUAAUCGACUGAGCCACCCAGGCACCCCUAAGCAUCCAAUUCUUGAUGGAGGCUCAGGUCAUGAUCUUGCCGUUCAUGAGAUCGAGCCCCGUGUUGGGGUCUGCACUGACCCUGUAGAGCCUGCUUGGGAUUCUGUCUCUCCCUCUCUCUCUGUCCCUCCCCCACUCCUGUUUUUUCCCCCUCUCUCUUUCUCUCAAAAUAAAUAAAUAAACUUCAAGAAAAAGAAAUAUAUUAUCAAUCUUAACAAAACAUUAAAUGGAUGAAAUAUUGGUUUUAACCUGAUGAAAUCCUGGGAUUUUUUCCCCCAAUGAAUUGAAAGCCUGAAUGAUAUUCCCUGGAAGGGUAUAUUUAAAAAUAGAUACACUGUGGGUAAGUGGAUUAAGAGGCACAAGACUGAAUCUGAAGUGACAUAGCAGAUAAUUUCAGUUUGUUCCUUGCAAUCGUCUUCAAGGUUGGAAUAAGGUGUCCAUUUUCCUGGUGAGGAAACUGAGGCACAGAAAGGUUACAGGGCUGGAAUUCAUGCAGGUCUUCUUGAACCCACCUUCUUCCCAUGCCUCCCCGGUGAUGUUUGUUAGUGCCUGAAUUCAAAUAUUGGUAGGGGCCUGGGGAUGCCGUCAUGACUGACCAAAGAUGCAGACCAGGCAAUCAGGCACCGUGAAGAAUAACUAGAAAGUGAGAUGGCCAUUGGGAGGAGAAGGAAGGCCAAGCAACAAUGGAAACGACCAGCCAAUGUGGUCUAGGAACGGACCCUAGGAUAGUGCCUAUCUGUGGACUAUACAGCAGAAUUCCCAGAGACGUAUCCACCAUGACCUGUAUUCCAUUAGCAGGUAGAUGCUCACAUGAACAAGCCUUUUCUAAACAUUUUAAAGAGGAAGCAAAAGCGUUUUUAUUCGAGUCCAUUAGGGCAGGUGUCCGGGAGACACAAUCUUCACAAAGAAGAGAGUGCUCACGGGCUAUCUAUAUUUUUUACAUAAAGGGUUACAAAUCGUCAUGACGAAAGGCAUUGCAGAAAGCUACAGGCUUUAACUUACGUUUUUUUGUGUGUGCAAAGUUGUGUGACUUUCGUCUUACGGGAGCCAGGGAGGUCUUUUUUUUUUCCUCAUCUUUAGGUUUGGAAUGCUCCUUUUGGGUUCCUUUGUUCUUCCCAGAUGUACAGUGUGUGCUCAGGGCAGAAACAGAGCCCGUGCUGGGAAGUCUUGCCGAGUCAUUUUGACCUUGGUUAAAAGUUAAGGUAUAGCUUUUCUGGCAGCCCAGGAGCGGGGCCCACAAACAUUCAAAGUUGAAAAUUUCCUUUACCGUGUGAAACUGCUGACACUCUCGUGCGCACCAAACGCGCAAAACACGUGCACGAGAGUGUCAGCAGUUUCACGCGGUCAAGUUUCACGCAGUCAAGUUUACUGAAACUUUGCAGGUCUCAUUUUCACGCACUCUUUGUGAUGGGUUGAAUGGUGGCUCCCCAAACAGAUGUGUCCACCUCCCAGAAUCUGUGAAUGUGACCUUGAACAGAGGGUCUUUACAGACGUGAUCAGAUUAAGGACCUUGAGAUGAGGUCACCCCGAAUUACCCCUGUGGAUCUUAAAUCUUGCAAGUACCAUUAAAAGAGCAGAAAAGACCCAAACACAGAAGAGAGGCCAUGUGAGGACAGAGGCAGAGAUCUGGGUUCUGCAGCCACAAGCCAGGAGCCACCAGGAGCCACCUGGAGCCACCUGAAAUCACCUGGAAGAUGUAGGGAAGGAUUCUCCUCCAGAGCUUCUCAGAGGAAGCACGAUUCUGCCAACACUUUGAUUUCAGAUUUCUGGCCUCCUUAACUGUGAGAGAAUAAAUAUGUUGGUUCUAGUCACCAAGCUGGUGAUAGUUUGUUACAGCAGCUCUAGAGAAUCAGUACACUUUUAUUAUCUCCAUUUUAUUGAUGAAGAAACUGAGGUUUACAAGGCUUAAGUAGAGUGCUCCAUUCACACAGCUACCAAGAGAUCAAGCCAGAGCUAGAAUUUGGCCACAGAGACUGUGCUCAGAACCUCACGCUGGUACCACGAGCCUGUUUCCAGAAACGAGGCCAAAUUCUUUGGGUUGGCCGGGUAACCUCUGUCAACAGGACUCAAGCCACCUUUCUAGACCCUGUUUUCAUCGUGUCCCACCUCCUCUACCCAGCACACCCUGUGUUACAUUGAAUACCUUGUAAUGUAUACAUUUUUAAUAAAAACAACUAUCAUGGUUUUGAGCGUCUACCGAAUACCAGGUUCUGCCCUAGAUUCUCACAUUCGUAUUGAAUUACCACCCCCCACCCCAAACUUAUGAUUUCCAUUUUACAAAUGAAAGGAUUGAGGUUCAUGAGGUCAGUUAGUAAAUACUGGAGGUACUGAGCCCAGCUCAAAAGUCACUUCCUCCAUGAAGCUUUCUGGAUUUUUCUUACCAUAGCAGAAAGGUCCCGCCUCCUCUAUGCUUCUUAUUACUUGGACCCACUUGUAACUCUAUCAACCUUACAUUGCUUCAACAGGUACCCACUGAGCAUGUACUUUCCACCAGGUACUAAAUGGGAGCUCAUGGCCAGGUGGGAAAAAUGGACAUGGAGGACAACGUAACAGUAGACCACAAUGAAUGUUAGGAAGUUAGACUCAGGAUGCAGUCUGAGCACCAAGGAGGACCAUCCCCCCAAAUCCACCCUUAGCUGAGAGAGUGAUGAGGAUACUUAACAUUCAAGCCCCAGGACCUUUGCACAGGACCCUUUUGUUUUCCUGCAAAAGCCAUCUCUCUUUCUUUUUUAUUCCAACCAGUUGGCACAAGCUGAGGAUGAGUGGAUUUGGGAGAAGAAAGAGGAACAUCUGGGGAUAGACCCUCCCGGAAAUAGUCUAUGCACAAUCUUAAGGCUGGUUAGACUCAAGAAGCAGUUUAACAACAAGCUCUUCAGGAUUAGAAAUGUACAAAAGCAUCAAGGUAACUGCUGGCUGGUUUCUUGCCUCCCCUUGGGGGUCAAAAUUAUUCCCAUCAGUCCUGUGCAUAAGUCCUGAGCCUUGAGUAUUGAGUACCUCUUACCAGCACUCUCUCAGCUAAGCAGGUAGGAGAGGAGGGAACCAGUACAGAAAGGAGAUGAGGGCAAUCUUCUCCAAACCAUGAGGUUUUUCAUCACGACUUGAAAAAGCAUCUAUCUCCUGUGAUAGAAAGUCAGUUGCUUGAAGGCAGAUGUUGGGCUUUAUUCACAUUUGAGCGCUCAGAGUGGACCUGCGGUCUGGAGCACAGCAGGUGUGGGCCAGCAGUGGAGGGAAGGGAUUGGAACUUCCUGCCCCUCACUGCCCCACCUCCUUCUCUGCCUUGUAUUCCAGACACACAGCUCAUACUUCGGGCAGCCCACGUGUCCGGCACAUUGCAGUGACACCUUAUGGUUCGAGCCUCUUCCCCAUCUUACACUCAUUCAGCUACCUUAGUUGGCUGGUUCCCUGAACACAUCCCCCAGCUGAGUUCUCUCCUCUCUUCCAGGACACACAUACCCAGGCACUCUCGCCUCUCCCACAGGCUUGCUGUGCAAUCACCGAGUCCCAGAUUCUUGGGCCCAGGAAGCGAGCAGCACCCUUUCACAUUAGCCUAGGCCACCUGCUCGGGCCCAGCUUCCCAGAGAGCCCAUCGGCGGUGUCUGGGCCGCAGUCCCAGCUACGUCCUAAUGAAAGGGUACUUUGGUUCUCCAUCCACGUCUGACCCCAUGCACGUCACUCCUUGGAAGUAGGGUUUGGUCCAUGAUGCAAGCCGGUAACGUCACACCCCUGCUUCCCACCACUGCCACCAGCCUCUGCACAUGAUUAUCGGAUAAAACAGAAGCUGCGUAUCCUCCAUCCACGUGGAGCUCUAAGAGCUCCAGCGCCCCCCUCUGAAGGUUGGAGGCUCAGGGCAGGCCAUACCUCUCACAGGAGAGGGGUCAGAGGGACAGUCACAGGCCCCAGGCCUGGCAGUGGGGCUCCACACAGAAGGCCAAGCUAGCGGGAAGGGCUGCAGAGCUUGGCCGUCUUCCCAAUCUCUCAUUUCGCAGCACUACAGUGAUUUUAAUUAAAUACUCCCCCUACUGACUCAGCAGUGGCUAACAAAGCCAAGUGCAGAGCCAGGAGCCUGAUAAACAGAGUGUUGCUGGAGGUGGUCAAUCUCGAAGGCCGUGGCUGGAGCCCGCCAUCCCUGUCUGGGGCCAGGCCCCAGGGCCCUAGUCCUCUUCCCCUUCUCCAGGACCCCGUGGGGUCUUUGCUGGAGGCAGGCAAGCUGUGCGUUCUCAAAACCUCUUGGCAGAGACUUUUUCUGGACCCCACUGGUCUUGGUUGUGAAUCCUUUACCAAACUCCUACUUGGAAGGCUGCUUAAUUCACUCCAUAAAUCUCUCCUCCUGGACUUUGCACAGCUGUGGCUAGAAGCUGAUUCCUGAGCGCUCUCAGCAGCCCCUGGAAGAAGACAGAAGAGAACAACUGUGAAGGAGAGGAGACUGGAAUUCACAUACCACCGGGCAGAGCAGUGGAAAGGCACAGGCCUUGUACCCAGACUCACCGGGGUUCUGACACCAGCUCUUCUGCUCUCAUCGGGCUCCCUGGGCUAAUUACUCCGCUUACCAGCCUCAGCCUUCUUAUAUACCAAUCAGAAAGAAUACUCUCUAUGUUAUUAGAUGAUUGGAAGGGUUAACUGAGACCAAAAAGUGGCACCCAUCAAGCCUUCAGCAACUGGUGACUGUUACACCUAACGUGCGCACGCGGGUGCUAGGUAGCCCACGGCCUAUGGGAGAGCUGCCAAGACGUUGCAAAUAUUUGUGAGCACGUACAAUAUUUCUGCUCCUUCUAUUCAGGAGAGGAUUCAAGGUCUCAGAGAGGCGGCCUUACCUCUUCCAUUUCAACACCCUGUGUGACUCUCAUAGAGUUUACAGUCCUGGUGGGAAAUUCAGUUAUUAUCCAGUGAGCUGUCACCCCAUACAAGGAGUACAAGGAGGUUACCUCUUCACCACUGAUGUUGAGUUGAGCUUGGCCCUGUAUUGUUUUGGCCAAAUGGCAUGUAGGCAGUGUCUGAGUUCUGAAUCCAGGCCUGAAGAGUCAUUGCAUGCUUCUGCUCAUCAUUCUGGGACUUCCCUGAUCCUGCCAUGAGUCACUGUCCCCUGGCCCGGACUCCUGACUAUAACCCAUGAAGGAAACCUGCAGUCUGAAACAGGGACACCAUAACCAAUCUGCGAACCUAUGAGCAAAAAUAGAUGCCCAGUGCCAUAUGUCAAAAGAUUCUGAGACUCUUUGUUACUUAGCAAUAGCUGAUGAAUCCAGUCUCCCAGGGAAAUGGACAGAGAGCUGGAAAGCAGUUUCCUCUAUUCUUGGAUCUCUUGAUCUAUCCAGGAAUUCUAUCAUUUCUCUGAGCCCAGUAUUCAACCAGGUCAGAAAAUAAGCAUCAUCUUUUCAGGAUCAACUCUCAGACUCCCUCCCAACCCCUGUGCCCACAGUAGACUACACAAAGGAGAAACCAUUGGUUUCACAGCGAUUCUCCCCCAACAUCCCCAUCUCACACUUGAACCCUGACAUUUUAUGUUCUCUGGCUCCACUAGGACAACUUUCCACUGGGGUAGAGGUGGCCAUCUGUAGCAGCUGCGGAGAGAAAAGGUUGGCACUUCAAUCUAUUAUGUAGCUACAGAAAAGUCCAAAGAGAUGAGGAGGACAUAUGAAAGUCCUAGGUAAAUCUCAUUAUUUCCUUCAUUUAUUUAUUCAUGAAUGCAACAAAUAUUUAUUGAGAACCUACUCUUAAGGUUUCCAGAUACAAUACAGGAAGCCAGGUUAAUUUGAAUUUCAGAUGAAUAACACAUUUUUUAGUAUAAAGAGGUCCUAAAUAUCACACAGGAUGUAUUCAUACUAAAAAUAAUUUAUCAUUUGCCUGCAAUUCAAAUUUAACAGGAUGUCCUGUAUUUUUAUUUGUCAAAUAUAACAACCACACAACUAUGACUAGGCAUUGUGUUGGAUGCUAAAGACGGUGGCUGGGAAUGAUAGAAAGAAUGAUAGAAAGGUGGCUGCCCUUCCAAAAGCUUAUAAGAUUUGGGAUAAUACAGGCAUGUGUGUAAGAAUUAUAUACAUACAUGUAUGGAAAAUACGCACAUGGACACAUAUAUCAAUUAGGUAUCCUAUACACCCUUUAAUGUGGGAAGCCCAGGGGCACCUGAGUGGAUCCGUUGGUUAAGUGUCUGAUUCUUGAUUUUGGCUCAGGUCAUGAUCUCACGGUUCAUGUGAUAGAGCCCCAUCUCAGGCUCUACGCUGAGAAUGCGAGCCUGCUUGGGAUUCUCUCUCCCCCUCUCUCUGCUCCUCCCCUGCCUGUGCAAUCUCUCUCUCUCUCUCUCUCUCUCUCUCAGGAGAAAAUGAGAAGCCCAGGUGCUCUGAGCUAUGCAGGUGUAACACAUAUCAGCACAGGGUCUGCCUUUCCCUCAACCCACACCUGUGCCUUCAUAGAUGGCUCCCUAUGCCACUUGACUGAGGAAGAAAAAUUAAGCCUGUGUUUUGGAUGGCUCUGUGUGGCAUCCUAACAAUGGCCCACACUAACUGAUACGAUGUUAGGCUUACUCAAGAAUGGUCCUGAAAAAACAUAGAAGGAAAACUGGCUCAGCAAACACAAUUUAACAGCCUGUCUUUUUCGCCAUUUUAUCUGUAAGAGGAGCAAGCUUGACUUGAGUAUUUAUACUUGCUCAUGGGCAGUGGUUAAUGGUUUGAUCAGUUGGUCAGAGACUUGGAAGAAGCAAUACUAGAGCAUCAGUGACAAAGACUCUCAGGAAAGAGGUCUGUGGAAAUUUUGGAAUGGCCCCAGAAUGCAAAAAUAUCUGAAUCUCAUAUGAAAGCCACCACAUAGUGACUUCUCACUAAUCAGGAGGGAAAACUGAGUCUGGGAAUACCCAUCCACCAGCCUCCUUCCCCAGGGCCACACAUGGGCCUGACAACCUGGGUCCCUCUUUGCGUAAGCUUAUUUGGCUAUCCCAUUGCUGAGUGGCCAACUUUCAACAGCAACAACUAACUCCAAGCCUUUAGUAUAGUAUCUUGGAGGACCAUCUUGGCACCUGGUGUUUGGUUGGUUCCAUCAACCCUCUUCCACCAUGGAGAGACAUAAAUUCCUUCUCAGUGGAAGAGAUACAUUCUGAAUUUUAAUUUCUUUUCUCUGCUAGUCGCACUUCUGCUAAUUACCUGUACAUGUCAUUGUAUAUUAUAGUGUGUGUGUGUGUGUGUGUGUGUGUGUGUGUGUAACCAGUCUCCUGAUCCAACUAAGAAAUAAUACCUUCCUUGGAGGGGAUGAAGCCUUGCAGAAUAAAGAAUAUGCUCAGAACGAGUUUCUAAUAUAGCCUUUCAGGAAUAUUACAAAGGUCCAUUACAAGGUCUAGAAUUGAGGGGGAACAUGACACAAUUAAACCUAAUGAUUCACUAGCAAAAACCUUGCUUUGCCAUCUUGGAGUCCCAUGGAACUCCUCAUGCCAUUCAACCCAUCAGCAAAAACGGGCACUAGAAUGUUGGCUGAGAACCUUAACCCCACCAAGAGGAAAGAGUGUUGAUUUAAGCAGCCGAAUGGGAAGAGUUAUAAAUAGAACACAGGUGUUCCCCUGGGUGUCUCUUAGUUCAGCCACUCCCACGAUGCUAAUGAGUGAGACCACCAAGGGCUCAUAUCCUCUGGGAAGGAAGGUUGGCGUCAUCUCACUAGGCAAACAUUUCCAGUCACCAUGGUGGGGUCUGAAGGUCUAGGGAACAAGGAAAGCAUAGGAUAUUGGAGAGAGUUGCAUGUAUCAACUGUGGCCCUGAAACCAGUUGCAAUACAAGGGUCAUGGCCUUCUUUGAUAUUACUAUAUAUAUAUAUAAUUAAUAUAAAUUAGUAGUAUAGAUUAAUAUAAAUUAAUAUAUUAUUAUAGGUUAAUAGAAUUGAUAUAAAUUUAUAAUUAAUAUAAAUAUAUUCAUAUUAUAUUAUAUAUUAACAACUAUAUAUUUACAUUAAUAUAUUGAUAUAAAUUUAAGUUAAUAUUAUAAUAUAUAUAACAUAUCCACACACAAAGUAUAUACAUAUAAACAUACACAUACAAACAUAAAUUUUAACUGCUAUUUCUUUCAUUCCAUCCAUUUGUUUCCCCCUCACACUAUUGUUUAUAGGUUGUAAUGGUUUACAGUUUCAAAAUACUGCGACUGGAUCAAGGGAGAAUCGGGGGGAGCAGACAUUGUCCAGAAACCCUGGACUCAGCCGGACGCUUUAGCCUCUAGGAGGGAUGUGUGCGAUGUCUCCUUGGUUGGGCAGUGGGGGAGUGAAUGAGUUUUCAACAUAUAAAAGUGAGUGGCAAGUAGCAAGGGGAGAGCUUUGUUUUGAAAGGUAAUCAUGAGAAGAGUACGAGAAAAUGCAGGGUCGCCAAGCAGACAGCAGACGUACAGUGUGGGACGUUGUUGAUUUUGGUUUCUCGGUAGCCCAUGCUCUUCCCAUUUAGGAUAAUCACAGAUGUGGGACUUACUCUGCUUGCCUUAUUCUGCUCAUUCAGCUACAACAAAAUACCAUGGACUGAGUGGCUUAAACGACAGAUAUUUAUUUCCUCCCGGUCCUGGAGGCUGGAAGUCGAGGUCAGGCUGCUGGCACGGUCAUGUUCUGGUGGGAACCUCCUUUCUGGCGUUCAGACUGCUGCCUUCUUGCUGUAUGUGUGUGCUCAUGUGGUUUUUCCUUGGUGCCCAAGCAUGGGCAGACAGAGAGAUCUUUCUCUCUUCCUUUUCUAAUAUGGGCACUAAUCAUUGCGGGAUACAUGCAUACAGUCCAUAACACAGCCCUGUCCUUACAGGGGAGGCUGCACAGUCGGAAGACAUUUUUCUCUUCCCAGGUCCCUAGAGUUAGGAAGGAGUGCACACAUGAGCUAUGCUUGGAUAAUCAAGAACUCUCACCCAGACCCUUACUCUCGAAGGAGGGCAGCCAAGAAGAGGGGACCGUGGGUGAUUACUUGAGUGAGUGUAGAGCUAAGUCCAGUGGUGUGCUUACAGGGGGGGCCAGCAGUGCCAGUUACAGGUCAAUGGUCUAUGAUUUGGGUCCCAGGACCAGGGACCAGCCCGUGCUCCUAGCUGUCCAGAACUGCUUGGGCCCUGACAGUUUUCUGACUUGGUGUUCUGGUUUUCCCUGUCACUCUGUACACUGUUUCAGUGGAUGAGUGGCGGGUCCAUCUGUUUUAGUGGAUGAGAUUGAUUUCUGUUGUUUACAACCAAUAUCCCUGCCUGGAACAAGUGGUUUGUCCAAUAGGAAGGUCUGGGGCGAGUAGAGGAAGUGCAGUGAAGAUACAUGUCACUGGAGAAGAGGUGGUCGAGGAAAAGGCCAGAGCUUUGGACAUGCCAUGUGUGGAAGACUGAUGUCAUGAAUAAUAAUGGUAGGAUUUGCAGAAGAGGAAUAUGGUAAACCAGAUGUCAAACUUUAGAAAAUGAGGGAAAGUGGCCAACCAGCCACUCUGAAAAAGAUGAGGAGGUUGGCAUACAAUGAUUUAGCCAAACCGAUCAAGUCUCGGAAGAGCAACGAUUUUUACACAAGGUGGAGAACUUAGAGGGGGGAGCAGACACUGGGGGGUAAGGAAAAUUCAGACCCAAAUCCCGACCCUGAGGUCUGCACGAGGGACAGAGGCAGGGGAGCCAUGCCAUCUCAGCAGAGUCGGGUUUCCUGUAAGGUGAUGAGCACAAAAGGACAUUUAGAGGGAGAUGAACCGUGUAAGGGAGUCUGUCUGCAUGGGACAGAAGUUCCACAGAUGGGAGGAGAGUGCAGGAUGUCCGGCCAGCGGGACGCUGCCCACAGAGAGAUGGAGAAGGUUGAUACAGGUGGCGGAUGACGUCUCCCCCAGGGCGGACCUGAGGCACUAUGUGUGUCAUUGGCAAAAGUUCUCCAAAAAAAACCAAUCCCCCUUCCCAUGCACCUAAAUAAAGUCAGCUAUGUGGCUGUCUGAGUAGACUGAGGAGGUGCACACAAGCUUUGUGUCAUGAAACCCUGGGCUCUGCUCCUCAGCCUGUCACCUACUGGCUGUGUGACUCUGCAUAUGUCCUUGUGGCGCCUUCACCUGUAUCGUGGGGAUAAUAAGUAAGGCUGUGUUACUUAGCUGUGAGGACCACAGUGAUGAUGUGUCAAAGUGCUUUUUUUUUUUUAAUUUUUUUUUUCAACGUUUUUAUUUAUUUUUGGGACAGAGAGAGACAGAGCAUGAACGGGGGAGGGGCAGAGAGAGAGGGAGACACAGAAUCGGAAACAGGCUCCAGGCUCCGAGCCAUCAGCCCAGAGCCUGAUGCGGGGCUCGAACUCACGGACCGCGAGAUCGUGACCUGGCUGAAGUCGGACGCUUAACCGACUGCGCCACCCAGGCGCCCCUCAAAGUGCUUUUUGAGAAUAAUCUCAAACAUCCAGAGAAGUGGACAGAACGAAGAUAACACAGAGAGCACGCGUUAUAUCCUUCGCCUGAUUUCAUCUGUGGUCGACUUUUACCUUAUUUGCUGCAUCAUUUGGCAUUUGCACUCUCUCUCUCAUUCUCUCUCUCUAAAUAGGUAAGCUUUGCAGUCAAUAUAUGCAAAAAAAACUUUGACCACUUGAGAAUAAGGUACAUACAUUAUGAUCCUUAAUACCGGUAUUUCCUAAGAAUAAGGGUAUUCCCUUGUAUAACUACAGCACAGUGACCAACUGCAUGAAUUCAACAGGAUCCAAUAGUUUAAUCCAGCUCCGUCGGCUGACCUGGCUCUGACCUUCACAGCAUUUCCCCCUCUGCUCUGGGACACAGCCUAGGGUCAGGCUGUGCAGCUGGUUACAUGUCUCUACCCCCCUUUAAUCUGGGACAUUUGUAUAGAUAGCCUUUCUCUGUCUCAUAAGAAUACCUUAAAUUUUUUUUUAAUUCCAGUGUAAGUAACAGAGAGGGUUAUGUUAAUUUCAGGUGUACAACACAGUGAUUCAAUAGUUCUAUACGUUACUCGGUGCUCUCAUGAUUCAGUGUACCCUUAAUUUCCGUUACCUAUUUCCCCCACCUGCCCAACCACUUGCCUUCUGGUCUGUUCUCUACAUCUAAGAGUCUGGGUUUUGGUUUGUCUCUUUUUCCUUUCUUCGUUUGUUUUGUUUCGUAAAUUCAGUGGAUGAGCGAAAUCAUACGGUAUUUGUCUUUCUCUGAGUGAUUUCACUUAGUAUAAUAUGCUCUAGAUCCAUCCAUGUUGUUGCAGAUGGUAAGCUCUCACUCUUUUUUAUGGCUGAGUAAUACUCCAUUGUGUAUACACCACAUCUUCUUUAUCCAUUCGUCUAUGGAUAGACACUUGGGCUGCUUCCGUAUCUUGGCUAUUGUAAAUAAUGCUGCAAUAAACGUCGGCGUGCAUGUAUCUUUUCAAAUUAGCUUGUUUGUUUUCUUUGGAUAAAUACCCACUAUUGGAAAUACUGGAUCCUAUGGUGUUUCUAUUUGUAACUUUUUGAGGAACCUCCACACUGUUUUCCACCAUGGCUGCACCACUUUGCAUUCCCAACAACAGGGCACAAGGGUUCCUCUCUCUCCCCAUCCUUGCCAACACCUGUUGUUUCUUGUGUUUUUGAUUUUUAGCCAUUCUGACAGAUGCGAGGUGAUCACCUCACUGUGGUUUUGAUUUACAUGUUGAUAAAAAUGCCUUUUAAGGAACGACACCAGAGCAACACAAGUUUAAGGCAUAAAACUCAGAAAAUAGAGAUAAGCACAAAGGAAAAACCCACCUGUCAGCGGAGACCUCCAACCAGUUAGGCUGGCUGUUUCUCACCUCUCCGCUAUCCUCGGUGAGCUCCGAGGACCCAGAUCCCACCUGCCUCUUCUCUCCGUUCCUCUGGGCUUCCUUGCCCUUAAAGACAACCUCACGCUACUCUUUGCACAGCGCAAGCACGUGUGUGUGUGAGUCCGUGGAUGUGCUCUUAAACCAGAAAGUCCCAUGUUAGUCUAUCAUGCUCUUAGCUCAACAACUGGGCUAGAAAACAGGAUUGUGGGGGCGCCUGGGUGGCGCAGUCGGUUGAGCGUCCGACUUCAGCCAGGUCACGAUCUCGCGGUCCGGGAGUUCGAGCCCCGCGUCGGGCUCUGGGCUGAUGGCUCAGAGCCUGGAGCCUGCUUCCGAUUCUGUGUCUCCCUCUCUCUCUGCCCCUCCCCCGUUCAUGCUCUGUCUCUCUCUGUCCCAAAAAUAAAAAAAAAAAAAAAACGUUGAAAAAAAAGAAAACAGGAUUGUGUUAAGCGCCUUUCCCUGCUGCCUCUCUGACCAUUUCUCCGGCUGAAUCUCCUUUGCUUAUUUCUCUCUUUACCCAUUUCCCUUCUUUCUACAUAUCAGGGACCCUUUUCUUUGUGUCCCCAGAGCACUGCCAUUGUGCCUUAUUGAAUCACACUACUGUUAUCUGAGUAUGGAUCUGAAUGUCUCACCAGAGGGAGAUGCUGUGAGUAGUAGGACUCUGUCUUAGAUCUCAUUCUAUCUUUAGUGCCCAGUUAAUGCCUGGCACAUAGUAGGCAGUUAACAAGGAGGUACGGAAAGAAUACAUGAGUGAUGAACUUGAACUAUUUAUAUACGUUUCUGGAGAAUGCCAUGUUAAAUUGGAAAUUACUCAAUCUUGGGAUGGGGGUGACUAUCAAGGGUCAGCAUCUGUAUCGCUAGGAAAAACACUGGCUUGUUGAAGGCAACACACCUGUUCUGUUGUCUACAAAUUAUUAAAUGCAUUCGUGAUGAUGGGCAACGCAAUGGCAUCUAAAUGACAACAGAGUAAUUAAUGAAAUAAAAUAAUGUGUAGGAAAAAAAUUCAAUCCUGUUUAAAUUAAGAUGGAUGAAAAAACGGGUAUAAGAUUGGAGCACCAGAUGGUAUCGAUACAUUAUACUAAUUUUCUAUUCACGUAUUCAAUUAUAGUUUAAAUAAAAACUAAUAUGGGUAAUUCGUCUCAUGGUGUUUGUAUGAACCAUCUGAUUAUAAAUUCCCACAAUGUCCAAUUUACCCACCAAUCUCACACCGCACAAUUAUUGAGCAAGCAGGGUGUGAUCUGCUGGGCAUUCCAGAAGGGUUGCUGGCUGCUCUGGGCACUUAGGAGGGAGGUAUCGUGGGGCAGGAGGUCAGUACUGACUUCUUCCCGACAGUGUGGGUUCCUGAUAAAAUGCAGGAUGCCCAGUUAAAUUUGAAUUUCAGAUACACAAAGGAUAAUUUUGUAGCACAAAUAUGGCAGGAGACACAUACUUUAAAAAUUCACAUGCUUUACCAUGUGUUUUCUUGCACAUUCCUUUAUUCUUUGCAACACACCCUUGAACCAGGACCUCAGACUCAGAGCAAAAAUGGAGGCCCCAAUGGGACCAUACAUCCAGGCAAAGCCCAGCAACAUCUGAGGACAGAGCUGUGUUCAGCAGCCACAGCCGGGGCUUCCCGGAGGAGCCAAGAGGGGCUGGAGUGAAGUGAGACAGGGCCCCCUGGCCCUGCCUGAUUCCAGAAACUGAUCAGAGCAGGCUCUGCUUUGGGCCAGGCCCAGGGACAGGUCUACAUCAGGCCCGAGGAGAAACCCCUGACCCCCACCUCCUUGACAUUCCAUGCAAAAGAAAUCUGUGCGCCUGCUUUGUGAUAUCAGAAAUUACUUUAAAAUAGAGGAGGCAACUGCAAAUCUUCCAAAUUUUACAAGAGGUACAGCUUUAAAAUAGUUACAGGUAAAUUCCGCAAACUUUUAUCUGCUGUGUCAGUAAUGAGCAAUCUGUCUCCACCGGAUCCCGUUUCCAUGUCUUCCUCAUUUACUCCCUAUUUAAAUCCUCCCAUAGAGCUCAGAUACUACUUGUGGAACCUUCCUAAGUCUUCACAGCCUGCAGGGAUCUUCUCCUUUUCAGCCUCCUACAGCACCUCACGUUUAGCCUCUUGUGAUGCAUCACUUUAUCUUAUAUGGGGAUUUGUGUGUUUGCCUUAUCUUUCCUUUAGUGAGAAACUCCUUGGGGUAAAGAGUCACAUCUUUAGUCUCCAGGAACACAUUCGGUGCCUUAACUAUAAUAGAUGAUGAGUUAUGGCCAAAAAAGAAAAAGCAUAAACCGUACAUUAGAGUUAACCAACACACUUUUUUUCUAAUAAAAUGAACCGGGGCUCCUUGGGAAAAUGUCUGAUUCCAGGGCUGGGCAAAUAGAAUACAAAAUGAGUAUCUUGCUAAAGGGGGUCCAGAAGCUAACUUGAGAGUGCUUCCGCUAAUCAACUAUGGGAUAAUUGGAGCCACAAAAUAAAUAAGUAUAGUAACCCAUAGAAUAAAAUAGGAACCCAUCCGCCUUCACCGAGAUGAUCAUGUAAAUUAAUAAAUAAGACCAUGUUGCAGAAGAGAAGCUCUCCCAGAGAAAUUCCAGUAAAAUGUAGAAAUAACAAUUAGAAUCUUGCCAUUUGGCAGCAACUACGGUAAUAAUUGUGUAGGAAUCAUCAAGGCUGCCAAAACUAGUGGGGGAAAUGUGGCAAGAAAUGGCACACGUGUGCAUUUGCAAUGUAUCUCCUCGCAAGAUACUGUCUAAUUACAAAGGAGGAAAAGUAUCUUCUCAGUGGAGACACCUGGCGGGUAUCACCUUAACCUAGUGGUCCAAGUCAGCAUCAUUGAUAAUGAGAGAACUCAUCACCAUGUGCCCACCGAUAUGAUGUGCUGAAGAAUAAGCAUAACACUCCUGUGUAUCCUGAUGAAAAUCUACACCACGAAUCUAAACACGAGGAAAUGUUCAACAAAACCAAUUGGGGACAUUCUACAAAAGGCUUGUAUGUACUCUUCAAAAAUGCCCAUCAUUCACCAAAGAAAAUAUACAGGUGGAAAUGAGCAGACGAAAAGAUGCUUCACAUCUUAAGUCACACACACACACACACACACACACACACAAAAUUGCAAAUUAAAGCAACAAUGAGCUAACACUACGUACCUAUUACGAUGGCCCGAGUCCGGAACCCUGGCAACACUAAAUGUUGGUGAGGGUGCAGAGUGACAACAGCUCUCAUUUGUUGCUGGUGGAGUGAGAAUUCGUAGGGCCACUUUGGAAGACACUCAGGCUGUUUCUUACAAAACCAAACAUGCUAUUAACACGUGAUUCAGCAAUUGCACUCCUUGCUGUUUACCCAAAGGAGUUCAAAACAUGUCCACACAAAAACGUGCACAGGGGUGUUGGUAGCAGCUUUAUUUAGAACUGCCAAAGUUUGGAAGCAACCCAGAUGUCCUUCAGUAAGUGUGUAGAUAAACUGUGAUGCAUCAGACGAUGGAAUAUUAUUCAGCACUAAAAAGAAAUGAGCUAUUAAGCCCUGAAAAGGCAUGGUGCAAAACUUAAGUGCAUAUUAAUAAGUGAAAGAAGCCAGACUGAAAAGCCUACAUAUUUGAUAUGCCCAAUUCUGGAAAAAGCAAAACUAUGGAGAGAGUAAAAAAUCAAUGGUUCCCAAAAGCUGGGUGGGGAGGUGAAGGGAUGAAUAGGGUGAACACACGGGGAUUUCAGGGCAAUGAAUCCACUCUGUAUGUAUGAAUAGUAGAUGCGUAUCUUUACACAUCUGUCCAGCCUCCCAGAACUUUCAAUACCAGAAGUGACCCCUAAACUAUGGACUCUGGGUGAUAAUGAUGUGUCAACGUAGGCUUAUCAGGUGUAACAAAUGUACCACACUGUUGGGGGGAUGUUGCUAAUGAAGAGGCUGGUCAUAUGCAGUGGGUAGGAAGUAUAUGAGAAAUCUCUGUACCUUGCUCUCAGUUUUCCUGUGAACCUGAAACUGCUCUAAAACAGAAAGUCUAUUUUCUUUUUAAAUGCCAAUCAUGAAAGACAGAGAAAGACUGGGAACUGCUUUGGGUCAAAGAAGACUAAGGAGCCAGGGCAUGUAAAUGUAAUGUGUGAUACCGAAUUGGAUCCUGGACCAGAGAAGUUUUUCUUUCUGACAUUAGUGGGACAACUGACGAGGUUUUAAUACCUGGAGAUAAUUAAUAGUAGAAUAUCAAAGCUAACCUCCUGAUUUUGAUAAUUGUACUGUGGUCAUGUUAGAGAAUACCCUUGUUUUUUGGAUAUAUAUGUUAAAGUAUUUAGAGGUAAAGGGGUAUAAUGCUUUCUACAUACCUUCAAACUAGUUCAGAAACAAAGGAUAGAGGGAGACACAGAGAAUAAAGCAAAGUUGUUAAUAUUAACACUCGAGGAACCAGGGUGCAGGUUGUAUAGGGAUUUUAAGUGCUAUUUUUCCAACUUUUCUCUAAGUCUGAAAUUAUUCAAAACUUUAAAAUGGGGGAAAAACCCUCUGGUGUAAAAAAAAAAAAGCAUAUAUUUGCAUGUUCCUAAAUUAUAUAAUCAUUAAAGAUUACUUUAAAAACACAUUGUACAUGUUUUAAAUUUUGCCAAAUUUCUAAUUUUUUUUAUCCUUGAACAGGCCAACAAAAAAAGAUUUAUCUCAGUUUCUCCUGGUUCCCGAAUUUCUGGGAAUUUGACUUCUUUUUUUUAUUUAAAAAUUUUUUAAUGUGUAUUUAUUUUUGAAAGAGACAGAGGCAGAAUGCGAGUGGGUUAGGGGCAGAGAGAGAGGAAGACACAGAAUCUGAAGCAGGCUCCAGGCUCUGAGCUGUCAGCACAGAGCCCAACGUGGAGCUCAAACUCACAAGCUGUGAGAUCAUGACCUGAGCCGAAGUCGCUCAACUGACUGAGCCACCCAGGCGUCCCUGGGAAUCUGACUUCUUUUUGUAAUUUCUUGGCAAUUUUUCUAGAGCACUGAUUUCCUUUGAUAGAGAAUUCAAAAUUCAAAGUCAAAUGAAAAGUCCGAUAGAGUUCAAGGUGAGCUGCGUUGUGUCAUUAUACAACUCACCUGUUCUUGUUAUGAAAGGGUUUCGUUUCACCUACCACUGCAGUUCCGGUCUCCCUGAGAACCUUUGCACGCACCCCACCCCCCAAAAGUCAUUGUCUUCUUGUCCUGUGGUCCUCCUGACCUCCACUCCUCUCCCCCUGCUCCACUACCUGAGGAUUGGGAACUUGGCUUGUCACGUGGUCCCCAUGGAAUCUAGCACAGUGUCUAAAAUGUGAAAUGCUGAAAAAAUAUGUUUAUUAUGACCUCACAUUUCUAACUCUGUAUUAACAAAAAUAUAUCCCCUUGAGUUUUUAUAUGUCAGGUUCACUCGCAGGACUGUUCUUGUGCAUGUAUUAUACUCCUGCACAUUCGUCAUCUCCUGUAGUCCUUAACAUUACCCUAUGACACAGGUACUGGUAUGCCCAUUUGGCAGAUGAGAACGUUGAGGCUCAGAGAUACUUUUGUUGUUGUUGCUAAAGUUUACAUGGUCAGUGGCAGAGCUAGAAUUUGAACUCAGACCAAUCUGAUGCCAAACAUAUUCCCCUUCUAGUAACCUCGGUAACUCUCUCUUUCAAUCAAUUUUUUAUUGUAAAAUGUAAACAAACAGCCCCAUUGAGUAGGCAUCUGCUGUUCAGCAGAUCCUUACAGAUGCUUCUUUCUGUCUCUCUGUCAUUCUGGGGGUGGCAGGAGGAAUAGAAAAUGAAAAUGUGGAUCUGGGAAAGUAAAUUAAAUAUCAAGUUCAUAGCCACGUGGAACUAAGGAGAAAAGCAGUAACUUAUUGAUGUGCUUUCUGUAGUGUCUGCACUGGAAAUUACCUUAUGACAGCAUGUGCUUCCCACGUUUUAUCUUUGAAAGGAAGUGAGAAGAUGCCAAGAAGAACCGAGAAGCACCCAGUGCCGGAUUCACAUCAGGUACCCUUCAUCAGGAUGGCUGGUUUGUCCAGAAAUAAUGAUACCCCGGGCUGCUGCAGUCCCUCCACACCUGGUCCCCCUUUUCACUGCCUAGCAGUAAACAGAAGCCGUGAUUUCGGAAACUGUAUACACCAGAGUUGCUAGCUUGAAUGGCAGAGCUCCAACUCAUUCAGAUCCAGCCCCAAAGUCCCUUACUUCCUUCUAACGUGACUACAUACCAAGCAAGACAAAUGCUCUUGAGUCCCUAGCAAGUUAGGUCACUCAUCCACCAGAAAGGAGCAAAGGUGAGUCUACAAAGGAUGUGUGGGAAAAUAAUAACUAAAAGAAAACAGCUAAGAGCUAACAGACGCCCACCCUAUUUAAAAGAACUUGAAGCAAGACCGAGUAGAAUGUAGAACUGAAGGCAAGAAAAUGUCCCUUGUCACCUUUUGUCACAUACCCCAUGACGUAGCCUGGGUCAUUAGUAAACAUGUUUGGGGAGCAGUUUGGUAAGUGAUCCACUCCUCUUGGGGGAGAUGCUCUGCGGCUCAAUGGGAGUUGUCUGGUUUGAAGUCUAGAGACAAGAAGGGACCCUCCACCAGACAAGUAUCACCUAGUAGUCCCAGCCAUCACCACAUGGAGCGGAAGAAUCACCCAGCUGAUCCCUGUCCAGAUGCAGGGUUCACAACCUUAGGCGCUACAACAAAAUUGUUGUGGUAAGCCACUAAAUUUGGAGGUAUUUUGUUGCGCAUCAGUAGACGACUGGAAUGCCGGCCCUCGGAAUCCUCACCUGUAAAAUAAAAAGAUUGAAUUCCACCGGACUCCGU